GAAAAACACACCAAUGAGAUGAUUCGGCUCUGUUCUUGCCCUGAGUAUUUUCCUACCAGUCAGCAACCUCCUCCCCCAAACUCUGCCUCUCAACCGCUCCCAUCUCGUGACAGUGCCAUCCCGAAGCAUUUACAGAGCACAGAAGGUGAAGUUAGGUCAAUGUUAUUCAGCUAUAUCACAGCUACAACACAGAGAUACCGGGUACAUUUCUAGAGGCACCUUCAUGGGUAUAACAUUCUCACCUUCUCUAAACUGAAGCAACAAGACACGAAUAUACAAAUUCUUAUUGGUUUCGGAAUUAGCUCUGUUUCGUCGAAGAAUCUUUCAGUCCAGGCAUGACUCUGCCUUGGCUCUCAACUGUGAUAAUCGUGUCUGUUCUAAAAGGCACCUAUGGAGCAGACUCAGUGACCCAAAUUGAAGGCAGCCUUACCAUCACCCAAGGGGACUCGGUGCGUCUGAACUGUACCUAUCAAUUUUCUUUCACUGCUAAUGUCGAUCCCUUCUGGUAUGUGCAAUUUCCCAACCAGCCCCCCAGGCUCUUCCUCAGGGACCUGGGACGGGAGAACUCGGAUGAAGGGAUCAGAAAAGGGUUCGAUGCCACCCACGACAAAAAGCACAAAUCCUUCCACCUGUGGAAAUCGUCCAGCGACUCGAGCGACUCCGCGACCUAUUACUGCGCCGUGAGAGACACAGUGACACUGACCGACAGGGGAGCUGAGCAAAAACCGCGCAGCGUCUGUGCGCAGCAGCGGGCACCGGGGUCGACUCGGUGGCAGAAAGUGGGGCGGGGAGUCUGCAAACUUUGAACUUGGAACAGAAAUCUCUCUCUCUAGCUCUCUGUUUUUUGCUGCUUUGCCCUAACCCGGAGCGCUGCCAUCUUAGAAAUGGCGUUGAAUGUCAUGAAUCUCUAAAUCAGGUAAAAUCAGGAAAGACCAGAACACAUCCACCCGCACCACCUACCAUGAACAAGUCUGGUGAAAGCUGUCCCCAGGUCCAUUUUUGAAGAGAAGUGCAACCAGACAAUUAAUAUCAUUCAAUCUAAACCAAUUAACCCACUAACUCGAGCAUGAUCACGGGUGAGAGGUUCAUAUCCAACUGGAAAACUAGCUGGUACUGUGGAGUUGAGGAACCUUCUCCAGCCCAAUAUACACAGAGAGACAGACAGAUAGAGUCUUUAGAUGACCUCUCUCACCUGCUGCAUCAGAAAAAUGCCCACUAUCUGUAUUGGAAAGGCUAUUUUACCGGCAAAGGUAUAAACAAAUCUGCUGAAACAAUUUCCCAUUUUUGUGAACACAUUUUACCGCUUGGGGGCGGUGUGAUGCUAGGUAAAUAAUGAAAGUAACAGCAAUUUUCCGUCCCGUGUUCUCUGCCCUCUCCUGACACCAACCCAGCCCUCUUUGUCCUUCAUACGCACCCGUUUCUGACAGUACCGUUGAUAAGGAUUUACAGAGCAGAAGGAAUCACUCUUGGGAAGUUGGGUUCAUGCUGUUGCGACAAGUGUCAGCUUCUACUCACAGAUACAAAAUACAUUUUAAGGCACCUUUUACAUAACACAAUUCUUGCCUUUUCUAAAUUGGCGCUACUAGACACGCAGACGGAUCAGUUUUGCUGAAUAGGAGAAUUAGCUCUGUUUAGUCAAAGUAUCAUUCAACCGAAGGAUGUUUCUGACUUGGCUCUCCGCUGUUAUACUCACAGCUAGUGAGUAACGUUCAGUGUUCUCAGCGUUGUUAUAUUUUAUCGAACCUUGUCUUCAUCCUGCCUUCAUCAUCUAGUUUGUCUGAGCGGCUAAGAUCACGCAGUGCUUAUAUUACAUCCGAUUGUAUCUUGUAUGUUUGUAUUGUCUAUGAGGGUUAAUGUUUUCUGUUGUAUCAGAGUAUAAAUAUUAUAUUUCUAUUAUA
Non-coding RNA from Dermochelys coriacea (leatherback sea turtle), 1898 nucleotides. NCBI's taxonomy places the organism in Eukaryota, Metazoa, Chordata, Testudines, Dermochelyidae. The record is from the annotation of a RefSeq genome assembly.